GCCCUGUUAGCUCAGCGGUUAGAGCAUCUGUCUUGUACUCCGAGGGAUCUCGUUCGAAUCGCGGACAGGGCU
This is a non-coding RNA of Cyanidioschyzon merolae strain 10D, 72 nucleotides long. Lineage: Eukaryota; Rhodophyta; Bangiophyceae; Cyanidiales; Cyanidiaceae. The record is from the annotation of a RefSeq genome assembly.